GCCGUAGGGCGCGAGCGUUGUCCGGAUUUAUUGGGCGUAAAGAGCUCGUAGGCGGCUUGUCGCGUCGAAUGUGAAAUCUCAGAGCUCAACUCUGACAUUGCAUUCGAUACGGGCAGGCUAGAGUUCGGUAGGGGAGACUGGAAUUCCUGGUGUAGCGGUGAAAUGCGCAGAUAUCAGGAGGAACACCGAUGGCGAAGGCGGCAUCCUGGACCGGCAUUGACGCUGAGGCGCGAAAGCCAGGGGAGCAAACGGG
This 253-nucleotide ribosomal RNA is filed under the name uncultured bacterium. RNAcentral's name for it is "partial 16S ribosomal RNA". It matches the Rfam family "Bacterial small subunit ribosomal RNA", at positions 524 to 776 of the family's 1533-position model. The record is from RNAcentral.